GAGUUUGAUCCUGGCUCAGGAUGAAUGCUGGCGGCGUGUCUAAGGCAUGCAAGUCGAAUGUCUAGUUUACUAGGCAUGGCAAACGGGAGAGUAACACAUUGAUAACCUACCCUGAAGACGGGGAUAACCUUGCGAAAGCGAGAAUAAUACCCGAUAGUAUAAAAUGACAUGAGUUAUUUUAUUAAAGCUACGACGCUUCAGGAGGGGUCUAUGGCCUAUCAGCUUGUUGGUGAGGUAAUGGCUCACCAAGGCUACGACGGGUAUCGGGCGCGAGAGCGU
RNAcentral lists this ribosomal RNA (279 nucleotides) under uncultured verrucomicrobium 49ev. RNAcentral describes it as "partial 16S ribosomal RNA". It matches the Rfam family "Bacterial small subunit ribosomal RNA", at positions 9 to 301 of the family's 1533-position model. Lineage: Bacteria; Pseudomonadati; Verrucomicrobiota. The record is from RNAcentral.